This is a non-coding RNA of Vicugna pacos (alpaca), 779 nucleotides long. Lineage: Eukaryota; Metazoa; Chordata; Mammalia; Artiodactyla; Camelidae. The record is from RefSeq and is a predicted model, not a curated record.
UGAACUCAUCCAUCUUGUCCUGAAGUCAGCAGUUUCCUCUUAAUGCCUUAUCUCCGUCCAGGCACUCCUGCUCCAUCCGUCCGCAACAGCGCAGAACCCAACUGGGGACCUGGAUGGAAUGGAAUGUACUGGAAGACUUGGAGCAUAGCAGGACUCCCUAGCGUGGCGCCUGGUGGUUUUGCAGUGUGGCUUCCAGGAACCUCGUCAAGCCCUAUGCCCAGUCACCUAUGGAAUCUGUGUGCCUCCAAGAGCCCAGGCACUUGCUGCUCCCCUGUCUCAAGCUGCUUGCCCCAUCCUCACCCAGCUUCAUCUCAGUGACUCCUCCUUGGCCUUCAGGUCUCCUCCAUGCAGAGCUCCUGGAGCAUGACCCCUGCCCUAGACCCAGCAUCUUGCCCGACCUCCCCCGGUGCAUCCUCUGCUCUAACCCCGACCACACGGCAUCCCAGACGACCACACCUUUGUCACGCUUCCUUUAGGAUGCUUGCUGCCCGAUCUGAAUACCCAUCUAAUGUGGGAUCUGGCAUCUGCUCCAUGAAUGAAGGACUCAAGUUCAUAUAAGACCUGAAGGUGUUGCAGACAUUCUUUCUGUCACAUGGAUACGCACUCUUUGUCUGCAGCUUUAAUUGUACCUUGUUAAUUUCUCCUAAAACUCUCUCUACGUACAGUUGGCUGGUUCAGGAUAGCUCCCUUCUCCAGAGUCCCCACAAAUUCUUGACAGUAGAUCCCUGGACUUCCUACUAAGACUAAACAUAACAUGAAUAAAUAAGUCAUAUCACUUA